This 253-nucleotide ribosomal RNA is filed under the name uncultured bacterium. Its description in RNAcentral is "partial 16S ribosomal RNA". It matches the Rfam family "Bacterial small subunit ribosomal RNA", at positions 524 to 776 of the family's 1533-position model. The record is from RNAcentral.
UACGUAGGCAGCGAGCGUUGUUCGGAGUUACUGGGCGUAAAGAGUGCGUAGGCGGUGGCCCAAGUCUGGUGUGAAAUCUCCCGGCUUAACUGGGAGGGUGCGCCGGAAACUGGGUGACUUGAGUACCGGAGAGGCAAGCGGAAUUCCUGGUGUAGCGGUGAAAUGCGUAGAUAUCAGGAGGAACACCCGUGGUGUAGACGGCUUGCUGGACGGUCACUGACGCUGAGGCACGAAAGCGUGGGGAGCAAACAGG